CGGCGUGGAUUAGGCAUGCAAGUCGAGCGAUCUUUUUAUGGGUCAUGCAGUUCGACGCAAGAAGAAAUGCAUGAACUGUUUUAAGAUAGCGGCAAACGGGUGAGGAACACGUGAGCAAUUUUCCCCUAAGACAGACACAGCUUCGUGAAAACGGAGGUAAUGUCUGAUAACACCGUGAUGACAUAGACAUUAUGGUUAAAGGCAGGGACCGCAAGGCCUGCCGCUUAAGGAUGAGCUCGCGUCCUAUCAGCUAGUUGGUGAGGUAAUGGCUCACCAAGGCUAAGACGGGUAGCUGGUCUGAGAGGAUGGUCAGCCACACUGGGACUGAGACACUGCCCAGACUCCUACGGGAGGCUGCAGUCGAGAAUAUUUAGCAAUGGGCGAAAGCCUGACUAUGCGACGCCGCGUGAGGGAUGAAGGUUUUCGGAUCGUAAACCUCUUUUAGCAGGAGAGAAAACUCUGCAGUAAAUAGCUGCAGGGCUGACGGUACCUGCUGAAUAAGCCACGGCCAACUCCGUGCCAGCAGCCGCGGUAAUACGGAGGUGGCGAGCGUUACUCGGAUUCAUUGGGUGUAAAGGGCAAGUAGGCGGUUUGAUAAGUGAGGGGUGAAAUCUUCCGACUCAAUCGGAAAACUGCCUUUCAUACUGUCAGACUUGAGGCAGGAAGAGGAAAAUGGAAUUCCCGGUGUAAGGGUGAAAUCUGUAGAGAUCGGGAAGAACACCAGCAGCGAAGGCGAUUUUCUGGUCCUGUUCUGACGCUGAAUUGCGAAAGCUAGGGGAGCAAACAGAAUUAGAUACUCUGGUAGUCCUAGCCGUAAACGAUGAGUACUAGGUGUUGGGCCUUCGGGUUCAGUGCCGCAGCUAACGCAUUAAGUACUCCACCUGGGGACUACGGCCGCAAGGCUAAAACUCAAAGGAAUUGACGGGGACCCGCACAAGCGGUGGAACAUGUGGUUCAAUUCGAUGCUACGCGAAGAACCUCACCAGGGCUUGACAUGUAUGAAGUAGCGAACUGAAAGGGGAGCGACCCGUCAAGCCGGGAACUUACACAGGUGCUGCAUGGCUGUCGUCAGCUCGUGUCGUGAGAUGUUGGGUUAAGUCCCGCAACGAGCGCAACCAUUAUCUUCUGUUGCCACCCUGUAAUGCCGUAAGGCAUUAUGGGAGCACUCUGAAGAGACUGCCUGGGAUAACCAGGAGGAAGGUGGAGAUGACGUCAAGUCAGUACGGCCUUUAUGCCCUGGGCUACACACGUGUUACAAUGGUCGGCACAAUGAGUUGCCAGCCCGCGAGGGGGAGCUAACCUCCAAAGCCGGCCUCAGUUCAGAUUGAAGUCUGCAAUUCGACUCCAUGAAGCUGGAAUCGCUAGUAACGGCAGAUCAGCACGCUGCCGUGAAUACGUUCCCGGGUCUUGUACACACCGCCCGUCAAGCGAUGGAAGCCGGGGGUACCCGAAGUCCUACGUAGGUAGGCCGAAGGUAAAACUGGUGACUGGCGCUAAGUCGUAACAAGGUA
RNAcentral lists this ribosomal RNA (1511 nucleotides) under metagenome. RNAcentral describes it as "bacterial SSU rRNA". It matches the Rfam family "Bacterial small subunit ribosomal RNA". The record is from RNAcentral.